UCGGACCCAUAUACCCAUUAAGCAUGAGC
RNAcentral lists this non-coding RNA (29 nucleotides) under Mus musculus (house mouse). The record is from RNAcentral. Lineage: Eukaryota; Metazoa; Chordata; Mammalia; Rodentia; Muridae.